Molecule: ribosomal RNA, 670 nt
Filed under: uncultured Bacteroidota bacterium
Lineage: Bacteria; Pseudomonadati; Bacteroidota
Description: SSU rRNA
Rfam family: Bacterial small subunit ribosomal RNA
Source: RNAcentral
CUAGUUGGUAAGGUAAUGGCUUACCAAGGCGACGAUCGGUAGCUGGUGUGAGAGCACGACCAGCCACACGGGCACUGAGAUACGGGCCCGACUCCUACGGGAGGCAGCAGUAAGGAAUAUUGGUCAAUGGACGCAAGUCUGAACCAGCCAUGCCGCGUGCAGGAUGAAGGUCCUCUGGAUUGUAAACUGCUUUUAUCUGGGAAGAAACCCCCCGAUUCUUCGGGGGUUGACGGUACCAGAGGAAUAAGCACCGGCUAACUCCGUGCCAGCAGCCGCGGUAAUACGGAGGGUGUAAGCGUUAUCCGGAUUUACUGGGUUUAAAGGGUGCGUAGGCGGAUUGGAAAGUCAGUGGUGAAAUACUCCGACUUAAUCGGAGAACUGCCGUUGAUACUAUCAAUCUUGAAUGUGGUUGAGGCGGGCGGAAUGUGUCGUGUAGCGGUGAAAUGCUUAGAUAUGACACAGAACACCCAUUGCGAAGGCAGCUCGCUAAGCCACCAUUGACGCUGAGGCACGAAAGCGUGGGUAGCAAACAGGAUUAGAAACCCUGGUAGUCCACGCCCUAAACGAUGAUCACUCGAUCUUAGCGAUAUACAGUUAGGGUCUAAGCAAAAGCGUUAAGUGAUCCACCUGGGGAGUACGACCGCAAGGUUGAAACUCAAAGGAAUUGACG